GUUAUCGAUAAGAAGAGAGCGUCUAGGCGAACAAUGUUCUUAAAGUUUGACCUCAAAUCAGGUAGGAGUACCCGCUGAACUUAAGCAUAUCAAUAAGCGGAGGAAAAGAAACCAACCGGGAUUGCCUUAGUAACGGCGAGUGAAGCGGCAAAAGCUCAAAUUUGAAAUCUGGUACCUUCGGUGCCCGAGUUGUAAUUUGGAGAGGGCAACUUUGGGGCCGUUCCUUGUCUAUGUUCCUUGGAACAGGACGUCAUAGAGGGUGAGAAUCCCGUGUGGCGAGGAGUGCGGUUCUUUGUAAAGUGCCUUCGAAGAGUCGAGUUGUUUGGGAAUGCAGCUCUAAGUGGGUGGUAAAUUCCAUCUAAAGCUAAAUAUUGGCGAGAGACCGAUAGCGAACAAGUACAGUGAUGGAAAGAUGAAAAGAACUUUGAAAAGAGAGUGAAAAAGUACGUGAAAUUGUUGAAAGGGAAGGGCAUUUGAUCAGACAUGGUGUUUUGUGCCCUCUGCUCCUUGUGGGUAGGGGAAUCUCGCAUUUCACUGGGCCAGCAUCAGUUUUGGUGGCAGGAUAAAUCCAUAGGAAUGUAGCUUGCCUCGGUAAGUAUUAUAGCCUGUGGGAAUACUGCCAGCUGGGACUGAGGACUGCGACGUAAGUCAAGGAUGCUGGCAUAAUGGUUAUAUGCCGCC
RNAcentral lists this ribosomal RNA (681 nucleotides) under Saccharomyces cerevisiae (brewer's yeast). Its description in RNAcentral is "LSU rRNA". It matches the Rfam family "Eukaryotic large subunit ribosomal RNA", at positions 1 to 649 of the family's 3401-position model. The record is from RNAcentral. Lineage: Eukaryota; Fungi; Ascomycota; Saccharomycetes; Saccharomycetales; Saccharomycetaceae.